CAGCGCCGCGGUAAUACGAAGGGUGCAAGCGUUAAUCGGAAUUACUGGGCGUAAAGCGUGCGUAGGCGGUGAGUUAAGUCUGCUGUGAAAUCCCCGGGCUCAACCUGGGAAUGGCAGUGGAUACUGGCUCGCUAGAGUGUGUCAGAGGAUGGUGGAAUUCCCGGUGUAGCGGUGAAAUGCGUAGAGAUCGGGAGGAACAUCAGUGGCGAAGGCGGCCAUCUGGGACAACACUGACGCUGAGGCACGAAAGCGUGGGGAGCAAACAGGAUUAGAUACCCCCGUAGUCCCUGUCUCUUAUCAC
RNAcentral lists this ribosomal RNA (301 nucleotides) under uncultured bacterium. RNAcentral describes it as "partial 16S ribosomal RNA". It matches the Rfam family "Bacterial small subunit ribosomal RNA", at positions 509 to 810 of the family's 1533-position model. The record is from RNAcentral.